Long non-coding RNA from Oncorhynchus keta (chum salmon), 1446 nucleotides. RefSeq lists it as uncharacterized. The record is from RefSeq and is a predicted model, not a curated record. The transcript has 4 exons. NCBI's taxonomy places the organism in Eukaryota, Metazoa, Chordata, Actinopteri, Salmoniformes, Salmonidae.
GUGCUCACGUUGUUUCAUAAUGCUGGAAAAAGGCUAAAUGCUGUAGGGUUGUUGGGUGUGGAUGCAAGCCCCUUACUUUCAUAUUCCGGGACCAACCGUAUGGUGGCAGGUAGCCUAGUGGUUAGAGUGUAGAGGUGGCAGGUAGCCUAGUGGUUAGAGUGUAGAGGUGGCAGGUAGCCUAGUGGUUAGAGUGUAGAGGAGGCAGGUAGCCUAGUGGUUAGAGUGUAGAGGUGGCAGGUAGCCUAGUGGUUAGAGUGUAGAGGUGGCAGGUAGCCUAGUGGUUAGAGUGUAGAGGUGGCAGGUAGCCUAGUGGUUAGAGUGUAGAGGUGGCAGGUAGCCUAGUGGUUAGAGUGUAGAGGUGGCGGGUAGCCUAGUGGUUAGAGUGUAGAGGUGGCAGGUAGCCUAGUGGUUAGAGUGUAGAGGUGGCAGGUAGCCUAGUGGUUAGAGUGUAGAGGUGGCAGGUAGCCUAGUGGUUAGAGUGUAGAGAUGGCAGGUAGCCUAGUGGUUAGAGUGUAGAGGUGGCAGGUAGCCUCGUGGUUAGAGUGUAGAGGUGGCAGGUAGCCUAGUGGUUAGAGUGUAGAGGUGGCAGGUAGCCUAGUGGUUAGAGUGUAGAGGUGGCAGGUAGCCUCGUGGUUAGAGUGUAGAGGUGGCAGGUAGCCUAGUGGUUAGAGUGUAGAGGUGGCAGGUAGCCUAGUGGUUAGAGUGUAGAGGUGGCAGGUAGCCUAGUGGUUAGAGUGUAGAGGUGGCAGGUAGCCUCGUGGUUAGAGUGUAGAGGUGGCAGGUAGCCUAGUGGUUAGAGUGUAGAGGUGGCAGGUAGCCUAGUGGUUAGAGUGUAGAGGAGGCAGGUAGCCUAGUGGUUAGAGUGUAGAGGUGGCAGGUAGCCUAGUGGUUAGAGUGUAGAGGUGGCGGGUAGCCUAGUGGUUAGAGUGUAGAGGCGGCGGGUAGCCUAGUGGUUAGAGUGUAGAGGCGGCGGGUAGCCUAGUGGUUAGAGUGUAGAGGCGGCGGGUAGCCUAGUGGUUAGAGUGUAGAGGCGGCGGGUAGCCUAGUGGUUAGAGUGUAGAGGCGGCGGGUAGCCUAGUGGUUAGAGUGUAGAGGCGGCGGGUAGCCUAGUGGUUAGAGUGUAGAGGCGGCGGGUAGCCUAGUGGUUAGAGUGUAGAGGCGGCGGGUAGCCUAGUGGUUAGAGUGUAGAGGCGGCGGGUAGCCUAGUGGUUAGAGUGUAGAGGCGGCGGGUAGCCUAGUGGUUAGAGUGUAGAGGCGGCGGGUAGCCUAGUGGUUAGAGUGUAGAGGCGGCGGGUAGCCUAGUGGUUAGAGUGUAGAGGCGGCGGGUAGCCUAGUGGUUAGAGUGUAGAGGCGGCGGGUAGCCUAGUGGUUAGAGUGUAGAGGCGGCAGGGUAGCCUAGUGGUUAGAGUGUGGAGGCGGCAGGGUAGCCUAGUGGUUAGAGUGUAG